This 218-nucleotide ribosomal RNA is filed under the name Escherichia coli. RNAcentral describes it as "partial 23S ribosomal RNA". It matches the Rfam family "Bacterial large subunit ribosomal RNA", at positions 2725 to 2925 of the family's 2925-position model. Lineage: Bacteria; Pseudomonadati; Pseudomonadota; Gammaproteobacteria; Enterobacterales; Enterobacteriaceae. The record is from RNAcentral.
CAUGCCAAUGGCACUGCCCGGUAGCUAAAUGCGGAAGAGAUAAGUGCUGAAAGCAUCUAAGCACGAAACUUGCCCCGAGAUGAGUUCUCCCUGACCCUUUAAGGGUCCUGAAGGAACGUUGAAGACGACGACGUUGAUAGGCCGGGUGUGUAAGCGCAGCGAUGCGUUGAGCUAACCGGUACUAAUGAACCGUGAGGCUUAACCUUACAACGCCGAAG